CUUGCUCUCUGGGUGGCGAGUGGCGGACGGGUGAGGAAUACAUCGGAAUCUACUCUGUCGUGGGGGAUAACGUAGGGAAACUUACGCUAAUACCGCAUACGACCUACGGGUGAAAGCAGGGGACCUUCGGGCCUUGCGCGAUUGAAUGAGCCGAUGUCGGAUUAGCUAGUUGGCGGGGUAAAGGCCCACCAAGGCGACGAUCCGUAGCUGGUCUGAGAGGAUGAUCAGCCACACUGGAACUGAGACACGGUCCAGACUCCUACGGGAGGCAGCAGUGGGGAAUAUUGGACAAUGGGCGCAAGCCUGAUCCAGCCAUACCGCGUGGGUGAAGAAGGCCUUCGGGUUGUAAAGCCCUUUUGUUGGGAAAGAAAUCCAGCUGGCUAAUACCCGGUUGGGAUGACGGUACCCAAAGAAUAAGCACCGGCUAACUUCGUGCCAGCAGCCGCGGUAAUACGAAGGGUGCAAGCGUUACUCGGAAUUACUGGGCGUAAAGCGUGCGUAGGUGGUCGUUUAAGUCCGUUGUGAAAGCCCUGGGCUCAACCUGGGAACUGCAGUGGAUACUGGGCGACUAGAGUGUGGUAGAGGGUAGCGGAAUUCCUGGUGUAGCAGUGAAAUGCGUAGAGAUCAGGAGGAACAUCCAUGGGCGAAGGCAGCUACCUGGACCAACACUGACACUGAGGCACGAAAGCGUGGGGAGCAAACGGGAUUAGAUACCCCUGGGUAGUCCACGCCCUAAACGAUGCGAACUGGAAUGUUGGGGUGCAAAUUUGGGCACGCAGUUAUCGAAGCCUAACGGCGUUUAAGUUUCGCCGCCCUGGGGGAGUUACGGUUCGCAAGGACUGAAAACUCCAAGGGAAUUUGACGGGGGGUCCCGCCACAAAGCGGGUGGGAGUAAUGUGGGUUUAAAUUUCGGAUGCCAACGUCGAAAGAAACCUUUACCCUGGGCCUUUGAACAUGUUCGAGAACUUUUCCAGGAGGAUGGGAUUGGGUGGCCUUUCGG
RNAcentral lists this ribosomal RNA (1000 nucleotides) under Stenotrophomonas sp. RNAcentral's name for it is "bacterial SSU rRNA". It matches the Rfam family "Bacterial small subunit ribosomal RNA". The record is from RNAcentral. Lineage: Bacteria; Pseudomonadati; Pseudomonadota; Gammaproteobacteria; Lysobacterales; Lysobacteraceae.